AGCGAACGCUGGCGGCAGGCUUAACACAUGCAAGUCGAGCGGGCAUCUUCGGAUGUCAGCGGCAGACGGGUGAGUAACACGUGGGAACGUACCCUUCGGUUCGGAACAACUCUGGGAAACUGGAGCUAAUACCGGAUACGCCCUUAUGGGGAAAGGUUUACUGCCGAAGGAUCGGCCCGCGUCUGAUUAGCUAGUUGGUGGGGUAACGGCCUACCAAGGCGACGAUCAGUAGCUGGUCUGAGAGGAUGAUCAGCCACACUGGGACUGAGACACGGCCCAGACUCCUACGGGAGGCAGCAGUGGGGAAUAUUGGACAGUGGGCGCAAGCCUGAUCCAGCCAUGCCGCGUGAGUGAUGAAGGCCUUAGGGUUGUAAAGCUCUUUUGUCCGGGACGAUAAUGACGGUACCGGAAGAAUAAGCCCCGGCUAACUUCGUG
RNAcentral lists this ribosomal RNA (435 nucleotides) under uncultured bacterium. RNAcentral describes it as "partial 16S ribosomal RNA". It matches the Rfam family "Bacterial small subunit ribosomal RNA", at positions 29 to 507 of the family's 1533-position model. The record is from RNAcentral.